This 592-nucleotide ribosomal RNA is filed under the name Labeo catla (catla). RNAcentral describes it as "partial 16S ribosomal RNA". It matches the Rfam family "Bacterial large subunit ribosomal RNA", at positions 1810 to 2603 of the family's 2925-position model. The record is from RNAcentral. Lineage: Eukaryota; Metazoa; Chordata; Actinopteri; Cypriniformes; Cyprinidae.
AAAACAUCGCCUCCUGCAACACAACCAUGUAUAGGAGGUCCAGCCUGCCCAGUGACUACAAGUUCAACGGCCGCGGUAUUUUGACCGUGCAAAGGUAGCGCAAUCACUUGUCUUUUAAAUAGAGACCUGUAUGAAUGGCUAAACGAGGGCUUAACUGUCUCCCCUUUCCAGUCAGUGAAAUUGAUCUGCCCGUGCAGAAGCGGACAUAAAAAUACAAGACGAGAAGACCCUUUGGAGCUUAAGGUACAAAACUCAACCGCGUCAAGCAACUCAAUAAAAAGCAAAAACUUUGCGGAACAUGAGAUUUUACCUUCGGUUGGGGCGACCACGGAGGAAAACAAAGCCUCCAAGUGGAUUGGGAAAACCUCCUAAAACCAAGAGAGACAUCUCUAAGCCACAGAACAUCUGACCAAACAUGAUCCGGCUGCCCGAAGCCGAUCAACGAACCAAGUUACCCUAGGGAUAACAGCGCAAUCCUCUCCCAGAGUCCAUAUCGACGAGAGGGUUUACGACCUCGAUGUUGGAUCAGGACAUCCUAAUGGUGCAGCCGCUAUUAAGGGUUCGUUUGUUCAACGAUUAAAGUCCUACGUGA